GACGUAGGGCGCAAGCGUUGUCCGGAAUUAUUGGGCGUAAAGAGCUCGUAGGCGGCUUGUUGCGUCGACUGUGAAAACCCGUGGCUCAACCAUGUGGUCUGCAGUCGAUACGGGCAGGCUAGAAUUCGGUAGGGGAGACUGGAAUUCCUGGUGUAGCGGUGAAAUGCGCAGAUAUCAAGCGGAACACCAGUGGCGAAGGCGAGUCCCUGGACAACUCCUGACACUGAGGCACGAAAGCUAGGGGAGCAAACAGG
This 254-nucleotide ribosomal RNA is filed under the name uncultured bacterium. Its description in RNAcentral is "partial 16S ribosomal RNA". It matches the Rfam family "Bacterial small subunit ribosomal RNA", at positions 524 to 776 of the family's 1533-position model. The record is from RNAcentral.